AACGAACGCUGGCGGCAUGCCUAACACAUGCAAGUCGAACGAGAGCUUCGGGUCUAGUGGCGCACGGGUGCGUAACGCGGGGGAACCUGCCCUUAGGUUCGGAAUAACUCCCCGAAGGGGGUGCUAAUACCGGAUAAUGUCUUCGGACCAAAGAUUUAUCUCCUUUGGUUGGGCCCGCGUUGGAUUAGCUAGUUGGUAGGGUAAAAGCCUACCAAGGCGACGAUCCAUAGCUGGUCUGAGAGGAUGGUCCGCCACACUGGGACUGAGACACGGCCCAGACUCCUACGGGAGGCAGCAGUGGGUAAUACUGGACUAUGGGCGAUGGCCUGAUCCAGCAAUGCCGCGUGAGUGAUGAUGGCCUUAGGGUUGUAAAUCUCCUUUACCCGGUAUGAUAAUGACAGUACCGGGAGAAUAAGCUCCGGCUAACUCCGUG
This 433-nucleotide ribosomal RNA is filed under the name uncultured bacterium. RNAcentral's name for it is "partial 16S ribosomal RNA". It matches the Rfam family "Bacterial small subunit ribosomal RNA", at positions 29 to 507 of the family's 1533-position model. The record is from RNAcentral.